Molecule: long non-coding RNA, 1046 nt
Organism: Oncorhynchus tshawytscha (Chinook salmon)
Lineage: Eukaryota; Metazoa; Chordata; Actinopteri; Salmoniformes; Salmonidae
Exons: 2
Source: RefSeq, a predicted model, not a curated record
CUAACACUCCUACCGUCAUCAGCAUCAUGCUAUCCAACAGUCUAUGACAUCUAACACUCCUACUGUCAUCAGCGUCAUGCUAUCUAACACUCCACUGUCAUCAGCAUCAUGCUAUCCAACAGUCUAUGACAUCUAACACUCCUACCGUCAUCAGUGUCAUGCUAUCCAACAGUCUGACAUCUAACACUCCUACCGUCAUCAGCGUCAUGCUAUCCAACAGUCUAUGACAUCUAACACUCCUACCGUCAUCAGCGUCAUGCUAUCCAACAGUCUAUGACAUCUAACACUCCUACCGUCAUCAGCGUCAUGCUAUCCAACAGUCUAUGACAUCUAACACUCCUACCGUCAUCAGCGUCAUGCUAUCCAACAGUCUAUGACAUCUAACACUCCUACCGUCAUCAGCGUCAUGCUAUCCAACAGUCUAUGACAUCUAACACUCCUUCUGCAUGGUAGAGCAAGUAGAUGUACAGUUUGAUCACCAGAUAUUUGGUGUUAUAAUUUUAUGAAGUUGCUUUUCUGUUGUUUAAUCUAUUUUUUAACCGAGACAGUAUUGACGGAAUCUUCUAGAUUUUGUCUCAUCGUAAGAAGUUCUCCUGUUAUAUUUACUGGAUUCUAUGUGCAGUAUGUGAUAUAUGUACAUAGUAUUUAUUUUGUAUAAUACAUUUAACAAUUGUUAAAUACCUGUAGUUAACAUUGGAUUCAGGUAGAAUGAAAAGUGAACUAGGUUGCAGUGCAGUGUUUUUGUUCCUGGAGUCGUGUGAUUGGUUGGUUUAGGCUGUGUGCCCACCAUACCCAUGAGACUGAUGACUGAUAAUUUCCUCUCAACCCAUUGGCUAUCUGGCGCUGGAAGAUAUGACGUCAACCAUAACACUACAACGUUGUAAUGUUUCUGUAUUUCUUACAGUUCUGUCCAAUAGAAAGGUUGCCACUUAUUGAUUAGCAUGUCAUCUUGAGGAUGAUGGUCUAAACAUCCUGUACAGAUCCCAUAUACCAGGUUUGGUAUACAUUGUGUUCACCAUUAAAUGUAUUAUACCAGGUUUGGUAUA